Molecule: ribosomal RNA, 921 nt
Filed under: Ramularia endophylla
Lineage: Eukaryota; Fungi; Ascomycota; Dothideomycetes; Mycosphaerellales; Mycosphaerellaceae
Description: LSU rRNA
Rfam family: Eukaryotic large subunit ribosomal RNA
Source: RNAcentral
ACCCGCUGAACUUAAGCAUAUCAAUAAGCGGAGGAAAAGAAACCAACAGGGAUUGCCCUAGUAACGGCGAGUGAAGCGGCAACAGCUCAAAUUUGAAAUCUGGCGCAAGCCCGAGUUGUAAUUUGUAGAGGAUGCUUCUAGGUAGCGACCGGUCUAAGUUCCUUGGAACAAGACGUCAUAGAGGGUGAGAAUCCCGUAUGUGACUGGCCCGCACCUUCUACGUAGCUCCUUCGACGAGUCGAGUUGUUUGGGAAUGCAGCUCUAAAUGGGAGGUAAAUUUCUUCUAAAGCUAAAUACCGGCCAGAGACCGAUAGCGCACAAGUAGAGUGAUCGAAAGAUGAAAAGCACUUUGGAAAGAGAGUUAAAAAGCACGUGAAAUUGUUGAAAGGGAAGCGCUCACAACCAGACUUCUAGGCAGUGUUCCGCCGGUCUUUUGACCGGUCUACUCUCUGUCUCGAGGCCAACAUCAUCUGGGACCGCCGGAUAAGACCUUAGGAAUGUAGCUCCCCUCGGGGAGUGUUAUAGCCUCUGGUGAUGCGGCGCGUCUCGGGUGAGGUCCGCGCUUCGGCAAGGAUGUUGGCGUAAUGGUUGUCAGCGGCCCGUCUUGAAACACGGACCAAGGAGUCUAACAUCUAUGCGAGUGUUCGGGUGUCAAACCCCUACGCGUAAUGAAAGUGAACGGAGGUGGGAAGCGUAAGCUGCACCAUCGACCGAUCCUGAUGUCCUCGGAUGGAUUUGAGUAAGAGCAUAGCUGUUGGGACCCGAAAGAUGGUGAACUAUGCCUGAAUAGGGUGAAGCCAGAGGAAACUCUGGUGGAGGCUCGCAGCGGUUCUGACGUGCAAAUCGAUCGUCAAAUUUGGGUAUAGGGGCGAAAGACUAAUCGAACCAUCUAGUAGCUGGUUCCUGCCGAAGUUUCCCUCA